CCUACGGGAGACAGCAGUGAGGAAUAUUGGUCAAUGGCCGGAAGGCUGAACCAGCCAUGCAGCGUGAAGGUCAGUUCCCUAUGGGCGUUAAACUUCUUUUGUGCGGGAACAAUACUGGUCACGUGUGGCCAGGCGAGAGUACCGUACGAAUAAGCAUCGGCUCACUCCGUGCCAGCAGCCGCGGUAAUUCGGGGGGUGCAAGCGUUAUCCCGAUUUAUUGGGUUUAAAGGGUGCGUAGGCUGUUGGUGAAGUCAGGGUUGGAAUGCCCCCGCGUAACGGGGUGAAGUGCCAUUGAUACUGUGUUGCUUGAAGACGGAUGCGGUGGAAGGAAUGGGUGGUGUAGCGGUGAAAUGCGUAGAUAUCACACAGAACACCGAUGGCGAAGGC
This 387-nucleotide ribosomal RNA is filed under the name uncultured bacterium. RNAcentral's name for it is "partial 16S ribosomal RNA". It matches the Rfam family "Bacterial small subunit ribosomal RNA", at positions 338 to 722 of the family's 1533-position model. The record is from RNAcentral.